This 1243-nucleotide ribosomal RNA is filed under the name metagenome. RNAcentral describes it as "bacterial LSU rRNA". It matches the Rfam family "Bacterial large subunit ribosomal RNA", at positions 1564 to 2816 of the family's 2925-position model. The record is from RNAcentral.
UGAAUACGAGAUGCUACGGCGUCGAAGCAGUGUAUGUCAGACUUCCAAGAAAAGCUCGCAAUGUCAUAAAUAAAGAAUGCCUGUACCAUAACCGACACAGGUGGGUAGGUAGAGUAUACUAAGGGGCGCGAGAUAACUCUCUCUAAGGAACUCGGCAAAAUAACUCCGUAACUUCGGGAGAAGGAGUGCCUUCUUUAAGAAGGUUGCAAUAACAAGAUCCAAGCAACUGUUUAUCAAAAACACAGGUCUCCGCUAAGUCGUAAGACGAUGUAUGGGGGCUGUCGCCUGCCCAGUGCCAGAAGGUUAAAGAAGUUGGUUAGCUUUUGCGAAGCUGAUGACUGAAGCCCUGGUGAACGGCGGCCGUAACUAUAACGGUCCUAAGGUAGCGAAAUUCCUUGUCGGGUAAGUUCCGACCCGCACGAAAGGCGUAAUGAUUUGGAUACUGUCUCGGAGAGGGACUCGGUGAAAUAGACUUGUCUGUGAAGAUGCGGACUACCUGCACCAGGACAGAAAGACCCUAUGAAGCUUUACUGUAACUUGAAAUUGAAAUUGGACUUUAUUUGCGCAGUAUAGGUGGAAGGCGUUGAAAGUAAUCUUGCGGGAUUAGUGGAGCCAUCAGUGAGAUACCACUCCUAUAAUGUUAGAUUUCUAACUUUGGAUCAUGAUCUGGUCAAAGAACAGUUUCAGGCGGGCAGUUUGACUGGGGCGGUCGCCUCCCAAAUGGUAACGGAGGCGUACAAAGGUUUCCUCUGAACGGGUAGAAAUCGUAUCUAGAGUGUAAAGGCAUAAGGAAGCUUGACUGUGAGACCUACAAGUCGAGCAGGGACGAAAGUCGGUCUUAGUGAUCUGACGGUGCUGAGUGGAAAGGCCGUCACUCAACGGAUAAAAGUUACUCUAGGAUAACAGGCUGAUCUCCCCCAAGAGUUCACAUCGACGGGGAGGUUUGGCACCUCGAUGUCGGCUCAUCGCAUCCUGGGGCGGUAGUACGUCCCAAGGGUUGGGCUGUUCGCCCAUGAAAGCGGUACGCGAGCUGGGUUCAGAACGUCGUGAGACAGUUCGGUCCAUAUCCGGUGUAGGCGUUAGAAUAUUGAGAGGAGCCUUCUUUAGUACGAGAGGACCGAGAAGGACAUACCUCUGGUGUACCAGUUAUCGUGCCAACGGUAAACGCUGGGUAGCUAUGUAUGGAGAGGAUAACCGCUGAAAGCAUCUAAGUGGGAAGCCCACCUCAAGAUGAGUAUUCUCA